GAGAAGUCAGGCCAGAUUAAGCCAUAGUACGGAAAGAGCUAUGCUGCCUGUGAGCCCCGUCUAAGGACGUAAAAUGAAGUCAGGCCGAAAGCCACGGAUUGAGCAAGCCGUGCUGCCUGUGGCUCCAU
Molecule: long non-coding RNA, 128 nt
Filed under: dengue virus type 1
Lineage: Riboviria; Orthornavirae; Kitrinoviricota; Flasuviricetes; Amarillovirales; Flaviviridae
Description: dengue virus type I partial sfRNA1
Source: RNAcentral